This 500-nucleotide ribosomal RNA is filed under the name uncultured bacterium. RNAcentral describes it as "partial 16S ribosomal RNA". It matches the Rfam family "Bacterial small subunit ribosomal RNA", at positions 29 to 523 of the family's 1533-position model. The record is from RNAcentral.
AUUGAACGCUGGCGGCAUGCCUUACACAUGCAAGUCGAACGGCAGCACGGGAGCCAUCCUGGUGGCGAGUGGCGAACGGGUGAGUAAAGUAUCGGAACGUGCCCAGUCGUGGGGGAUAACGUAGCGAAAGUUACGCUAAUACCGCAUACGAUCUAUGGAUGAAAGCGGGGGAUCGCAAGACUUCGCGCGAUUGGAGCGGCCGAUAUCAGAUUAGGUAGUUGGGGGGGUAAGGGCUCACCAAGCCGACGAUCUGGAGCUGGUGUGGGUGGACGACCAGCAACACUGGGACUGGGACACGGCCCAGACGCCUAGGGGGGGAAGAGGGGGGGAAUUUUGGACAAUGGGCGAAGGCUUGAGCCAGCCAUGCGGGGUGCGGGAUGAGGGCCUUCGGGUUGUAAACUGCUUUUGUACGGAACGAAAAGGUUUGGGCUAAUAAGCUGAGCUCAUGACGGUACCGUAAGAAUAAGCACCGGCUAACUGCGUGCCAGCAGCCGCCGUAA